Long non-coding RNA from Phragmites australis (common reed), 270 nucleotides. RefSeq lists it as uncharacterized. The record is from RefSeq and is a predicted model, not a curated record. NCBI's taxonomy places the organism in Eukaryota, Viridiplantae, Streptophyta, Magnoliopsida, Poales, Poaceae. The transcript has 2 exons.
CUUGUAAUCACCAUUAUUACCAUUCUUACAACCAUAGAGUGUUGUGCUAACUAUCUACUUUGUGCAGUAUCCAUCAGAGGGAUCGAAUACGCCUGGAGCUGGAGGUUCGCACUUUGGUACUCCACCUCACUUUGGUUAAGGUGGUAAUCAAGUGUUGAGUCCGUUACGGCCUGCUACAUUUUCUUUUUGUUUGGACUAUGUUUUGCUAUCUUGUCACGACAAUUUGUCAUGUUUGUGUCACUUGCGACGGUUUAUGUGAUGUUUGUGUAA